ACCCUCCCCAUGCCUUGCUUCCAGCUCAGACAGUGUUAAUAGCACAGCAACGUUCAGCUGCUGCUGAGUGGUGAGUGCUCCCCCAGGGUCAGGCAGGGGGUGUGAUGCAGCAGCUGGGCCACUGUGCCAGCUGUGCCAGGCCACAUGCAGCCUGCAGCCCAUGGGUUGGACAGCCCUGAAUAAGGACAAAUUAAACCAGUCUGAAAACCUACACAAACCACAAGUGGCUCGUGCUUCAAAUACAUCUCACAUGAAAAGGAAAUUUAUCCAAAGAUCGGCCCCAAACUUUUAGGGCACUCUGUGCAGAAUACAAGAUGUCCUUACUAAGCGGCUGAGGCUUAAAAAGAGAAUAACAUCAAAUCACACUUUGCCUAUUCCUCUGCACAACUACACAGGCAAAGCCCAAGCACUGCUAUGUUAUCACCAGACACACCACAAGGAGCACAACAACACAUCAGGAGAAGAAAUGCAAGAGUUUCUUUUGCUGCCUUUUCCAGCUCUGUGGACUGGGCACAGUACCAAAAACCAGAGCAAGAGAAUCUUCAAGGGAAACACUGCCAAACCUGGUUCAGAAAAGAAUGACUGGAAAAAAAUUCAGAAAAGAAUGACUGCAAAAGCCCCUGUUUCAGGUAAGAAACAGCACCCUCACUUUGAUCUCCUCAAAAGUGUGAGACAGAUGGAGGUGGCUAAAAAUGAAACAAGACCAAAGUUCAUCCCAAACAGGA
Molecule: long non-coding RNA, 725 nt
Filed under: Coturnix japonica (Japanese quail)
Lineage: Eukaryota; Metazoa; Chordata; Aves; Galliformes; Phasianidae
Description: lncRNA (ENSCJPG00005009859.1)
Source: RNAcentral